Molecule: ribosomal RNA, 464 nt
Filed under: uncultured bacterium
Lineage: Bacteria
Description: partial 16S ribosomal RNA
Rfam family: Bacterial small subunit ribosomal RNA
Source: RNAcentral
CUACGGGUGGCUGCAGUGGGGAAUAUUGGACAAUGGGGGAAACCCUGAUCCAGCAAUGCCGCGUGUGUGAAGAAGGCCUGCGGGUUGUAAAGCACUUUCGGUUGGGAGGACUGCUUCUAGCACUAAUAUUGUUGGAAGUUGACGUUACCUUCAGAAGAAGCACCGGCUAACUCCGUGCCAGCAGCCGCGGUAAUACGGAGGGUGCAAGCGUUAAUCGGAAUUACUGGGCGUAAAGCGCGCGUAGGCGGCUAGAUCAGUCGGGUGUGAAAGCCCCGGGCUUAACCGGGAACUGCAUCCGAUGCUGUGUAGGUUGAGGUCAGGGGGGGAGGGGGGAAAUUCAAAAGUAGCGGUGAAAAGGGUAGAUUUGGUGGGGAAAACCCAUGGGGAAGGCAGGUCUCUGGGCUGGUACUGGCGGUGAGGUGCGAAAGGGGGGGGAGCAAACCGGAUUUGAUACCCCUGUAGUC